CCUUGGAACUUGAAACAAUACAGAGAAGAUUAGCAAGGCCCCUGCUCAAGAAUGACAUGCAAAUUUGUGAAGUGUUCCAUAUUUUA
RNAcentral lists this small nuclear RNA (86 nucleotides) under Sorex araneus (European shrew). The record is from RNAcentral. Lineage: Eukaryota; Metazoa; Chordata; Mammalia; Eulipotyphla; Soricidae.